GUUUGUAUGGAAUUCCAUGAGCUUCAAAGUAAUGCUUCUAACUCUGUGGUUUUUCAUAUUUCCCAG
Drosophila melanogaster (fruit fly) is the source of this 66-nucleotide non-coding RNA. NCBI's taxonomy places the organism in Eukaryota, Metazoa, Arthropoda, Insecta, Diptera, Drosophilidae. The record is from Ensembl.